Molecule: long non-coding RNA, 555 nt
Filed under: Struthio camelus australis
Lineage: Eukaryota; Metazoa; Chordata; Aves; Struthioniformes; Struthionidae
Description: lncRNA (ENSSCUG00000012692.1)
Source: RNAcentral
CUUGAAACAUAUUUUGUUUUGUGGUAGCCCACAGGACAGCCAGCCAAAGACUUUCUUCCCACUGUGCUAGGUAUAAAACAAAGACCUGCCUAUUGAGCUUACAGAUGCAAAACAAAAAUUCCCCGCAAGCAGGAUCAAAAUUUUCUACAUCUAUGAGGACAAGACCGGAAACAUCAGAUGUACUGUGAAGAGGAGAACUCUAAUGUCUUGUCAGGAGGCAAACAAGCCUUGUUAUCUCCAUUCUACAGAAACAGGAGCUUCAGGCAGGGGGAAGGGUCACCUUGGAAAAUUCAGUAGGUGCCUAUCUGCUUCUUAAAGCUAUCCUAUAACCGAGACAACAUCUGAGGCAGAGACGGACAAAGGAUUCUGCGUCCAUCUUUCAAUCUCAUGUCUCCAACCACAAAUCAUGCUGCUAGCUUUUCUACUCCUCUGUGAGGGAAACUUCAUUUUUCAUUUUAUAUUGGAAGGAGCAGGAGAAAAAGGGGAGAUAGGCUGACUGUAGAAUCUCCUGCUCCUAAUGGGAACACUGCUACAGCUUGUUUUAUGACCAAGACU